AGUGAACGCUGGCGGUAGGCCUAACACAUGCAAGUCGAACGGCAGCACCGUAAGAGCUUGCUCUUACGGGUGGCGAGUGGCGGACGGGUGAGGAAUAUACCGGAAUCUACUCUUUCGUGGGGGAUAACGUAGGGAAACGUACUCUAAUACAGCAUCCGACCUACGGGUGAAAGCAGGGGAUCUUUGGACCUUUUGCGAUUGAAUGAGCCGAUGUCGGAGUAGUUAGUUGGCGGGGUCAAGGCCAACGAAGGCGACGAUCGGUAGCCGGUCUGGCAGGGUGAUCAGCCACACUGGAACUGAGACAGAGUCCAGACACCUGCAGUAGGCAGCAGCGUAGAAUACUGGGCAAUGGGGGGAAGCCUAAUCCAGCGAGAGCGCGUAGGGGAAGAAGGCGUUCGGGUGGGAAAGCCCUUAUGUUGGUAGAGAAAAGCAGCAGGUUAAUCCGCCGCUGUACUGACGGUACCCAAAGAAUAAGCACCGGCUAACUUCGUG
RNAcentral lists this ribosomal RNA (492 nucleotides) under uncultured bacterium. RNAcentral describes it as "partial 16S ribosomal RNA". It matches the Rfam family "Bacterial small subunit ribosomal RNA", at positions 29 to 507 of the family's 1533-position model. The record is from RNAcentral.